UGGGGAAUAUUGCGCAAUGGAGGGAACUCUGACGCAGCUAUGCCACGUGAGUGAAGAAGGCCUUAGGGUUGUAAAACUCUUUCAAUUGUGAGGAUGAUGACAGUAGCAAAAGAAGAAGCCCCGGCUAACUUCGUGCCAGCAGCCGCGGUAAUACGAAGGGGGCUAGCGUUGUUCGGAAUUACUGGGCGUAAAGGGCGUGUAGGCGGAUAUAUAAGUCAGGGGUGAAAUCCCGAGGCUCAACCUCGGCAUUGCCUUUGAGACUGUUUAUCUAGAGAUCGUGAGAGGAUAGCGGAAUACCCAGUGGAGAGGUGAAAUUCGUAGAGAUUGGGUAGAACACCGGUGGCGAAGGCGGCUAUCUGGCACGAUACUGACGCUAAGGCGCGAAAGCGUGGGGAGCAAACAGG
RNAcentral lists this ribosomal RNA (404 nucleotides) under uncultured bacterium. RNAcentral's name for it is "bacterial SSU rRNA". It matches the Rfam family "Bacterial small subunit ribosomal RNA", at positions 355 to 776 of the family's 1533-position model. The record is from RNAcentral.